Tursiops truncatus (common bottlenose dolphin) is the source of this 105-nucleotide small nuclear RNA. The record is from Ensembl. Lineage: Eukaryota; Metazoa; Chordata; Mammalia; Artiodactyla; Delphinidae.
GUGCUCACGUCAGCAGCACAUUGUACUAAAACUGGCACAACACAGAGAAGAUUAGCAUGGCCCUGCGCAAGGAUGACGCAAAUUCAUGAGGUGUUCCGUAUUUUA